Molecule: ribosomal RNA, 253 nt
Filed under: uncultured bacterium
Lineage: Bacteria
Description: partial 16S ribosomal RNA
Rfam family: Bacterial small subunit ribosomal RNA
Source: RNAcentral
UACGUAGGGUGCAAGCGUUGUCCGGAAUUAUUGGGCGUAAAGAGCUCGUAGGCGGUCUCUCACGUCGGAUGUGAAAAUCCAGGGCUUAACCCUGGACCUGCAUUCGAUACGGGCAGACUAGAGUUCGGUAGGGGAGACUGGAAUUCCUGGUGUAGCGGUGAAAUGCGCAGAUAUCAGGAGGAACACCGGUGGCGAAGGCGGGUCUCUGGGCCGAUACUGACGCUGAGGAGCGAAAGCGUGGGGAGCGAACAGG